UGGGGAAUAUUGGGCAAUGGGCGCAAGCCUGACCCAGCAACGCCGCGUGAAGGAAGAAGGCUUUCGGGUUGUAAACUUCUUUUCUCAGGGGACGAAGCAAGUGACGGUACCUGAGGAAUAAG
This 122-nucleotide ribosomal RNA is filed under the name uncultured bacterium. RNAcentral's name for it is "partial 16S ribosomal RNA". It matches the Rfam family "Bacterial small subunit ribosomal RNA", at positions 355 to 490 of the family's 1533-position model. The record is from RNAcentral.